GGCUGGUCCAAAGGUAGGGAGUGAUCUCACUAUAUCAUUCACAGUCAGUUACAGAUUGAACUCCUUGUUCUACUCUUUCCCCUCUUCCCACUACUGAACUUGACUAGUCAAAA
Molecule: unclassified non-coding RNA, 113 nt
Organism: Otolemur garnettii (small-eared galago)
Lineage: Eukaryota; Metazoa; Chordata; Mammalia; Primates; Galagidae
Rfam family: Y RNA
About the family: Y RNAs are components of the Ro ribonucleoprotein particle (Ro RNP), in association with Ro60 and La proteins. The Y RNAs and Ro60 and La proteins are well conserved, but the function of the Ro RNP is not known.
Source: Ensembl